GCGUUCAMCGAGUGUAUAACCUUGAUCGAUWGGUCUGGGUAAUCUUCUGAAAGCGCAYCGUGCUAGGGAUAGACUGUUGCAAUUUUCAGUCUUGAACGAGGAAUUCCYAGUAAAUGCAAGUCAUUAGCUUGCAUYGAUUACGUCCCUGCCCUUUGUACACACCGCCCGUCGCACCUACCGAUUGAAUGACUCGGUGAAAAAUUGGGACCGUGAGUCCGUUUGCUUUAUUGCGAGUGGAUUGAUGGGAACUUUUUUAAACCUCGCCAUUUAGAGGAAGGUGAAGUCGUAACAAGGYUUCCGUAGGUGAACCUGCGGAAGGAUCAUUA
RNAcentral lists this ribosomal RNA (326 nucleotides) under Bremia lactucae (lettuce downy mildew). Its description in RNAcentral is "SSU rRNA". The record is from RNAcentral. Lineage: Eukaryota; Oomycota; Peronosporomycetes; Peronosporales; Peronosporaceae.